AGCUCCAGUAGCGUAUAUUAAAGUUGUUGCAGUUAAAAAGCUCGUAGUUGGAUAUCUGGUAUGGCGGUCGGAUCGUUCCUUAAUUGGUUUGUAUCUGGCGAGCCGUGCCAUCUUGAAGUGGAAUCUAUCUGUCAUUAAUUUGCUGGGUAGAGGGUGCUUCUCGUUUACUGUGAAAAAAUUAGAGUGUUCAAAGCAGGCGUUUGCCGUGAAUACAUUAGCAUGGAAUAAUAAUAUAGGACUUUGGUACUAUUUUGUUGGUUUGCGCACCAAAGUAAUGAUUAAUAGGGACAGUUGGGGGGUAUUCGUAUUUGAUUGUCAGAGGUGA
This 325-nucleotide ribosomal RNA is filed under the name uncultured eukaryote. Its description in RNAcentral is "SSU rRNA". It matches the Rfam family "Eukaryotic small subunit ribosomal RNA", at positions 587 to 914 of the family's 1831-position model. The record is from RNAcentral.